Molecule: ribosomal RNA, 397 nt
Filed under: uncultured bacterium
Lineage: Bacteria
Description: partial 16S ribosomal RNA
Rfam family: Bacterial small subunit ribosomal RNA
Source: RNAcentral
CUACGUAGGGGGCGAGCGUUGUCCGGAAUGAUUGGGCGUAAAGGGCGCGUAGGCGGCCCGGUAAGUCUGGAGUGAAAGUCCUGUUUUUAAGAUGGGAAUUGCUUUGGAUACUGUCGGGGUUGAGUGCAGGAGAGGUAAGUGGAAUUCCCAGUGUAGCGGUGAAAUGCGUAGAGAUUGGGAGGAACACCAGUGGCGAAGGCGACUUACUGGACUGUAACUGACGCUGAGGCGCGAAAGUGUGGGGAGCAAACAGGAUUAGAUACCCUGGUAGUCCACACUGUAAACGAUGAAUGCUAGGUGUAGGGGGUAUCGACCCCUUCUGUGCCGCAGUCAACACAAUAAGCAUUCCGCCUGGGGAGUACGGCCGCUAGGUUGAAACUCAAAGGAAUUGACGGGG